RNAcentral lists this transfer RNA (69 nucleotides) under Lacerta agilis (Sand lizard). RNAcentral's name for it is "tRNA-Trp". The record is from RNAcentral. Lineage: Eukaryota; Metazoa; Chordata; Lepidosauria; Squamata; Lacertidae.
AGAAACUUAGGUUAACUUCAAACCAGAGACCUUCAAAGCCUCAAAUAGGGAACCAAUCCCUAGCUUCUG